Molecule: long non-coding RNA, 130 nt
Organism: Erpetoichthys calabaricus (reedfish)
Lineage: Eukaryota; Metazoa; Chordata; Cladistia; Polypteriformes; Polypteridae
Exons: 2
Source: RefSeq, a predicted model, not a curated record
AUUUCAUCAGAAGUCUAUAUAUGUAAAACCAGAUACAACAGUGUUGACUUUCCCUGAGGCAUCUCCAUCAAAUUCUGAAGGAGAAAUAAUUGAGGAGCAGAAGAGUGAAAGAGAUUUUGAAUCUUUAGAA